AAAAAUAGGAAGGUACUUAAAUCUUUUAAUGUUAAUUUUGUCUUUUUUGUAAAAAAAACUUCUUCUUACUUUGUACAGCCAUAAAUAAAGAAAAAAUAUCAAAAAAUAUAAAAAUCUUUAGAAAAAAAUUAAAUAUAGUUUAUAACAAAAAUUAUUCUAAAAAGUCAAUAAUCGAUAUCUGGAAAGGAUUGAAUAUGAAUCAAGAUUAAAAUUAGAUCCCAACACAAAAAAUCAUAGUCUUAUAGUGAUUUUAGGAAUCUUUUGAUGAUUGA
RNAcentral lists this long non-coding RNA (272 nucleotides) under Physcomitrium patens. Its description in RNAcentral is "long non-coding RNA (PPAT_LNC000729)". The record is from RNAcentral. Lineage: Eukaryota; Viridiplantae; Streptophyta; Bryopsida; Funariales; Funariaceae.